Dunckerocampus dactyliophorus (ringed pipefish) is the source of this 1086-nucleotide long non-coding RNA. RefSeq lists it as uncharacterized. NCBI's taxonomy places the organism in Eukaryota, Metazoa, Chordata, Actinopteri, Syngnathiformes, Syngnathidae. The record is from RefSeq and is a predicted model, not a curated record. The transcript is spliced from 4 exons.
UCCUCUGAGCUAAUCUCCACGAUCGAGAAUCAAGCCAAAUGGAAAGACAGGAAUAGUGCGAUUGUUACACCACAAACUUUCGCCUUUCCGAUUUGAGGCUUUCAAUGGGAGCAAAGUUCUUGGUGAUCUGACCAUCGCAAAGGAGCAUGUGUACCACAAUGAUGGUCCUUACCAGCAUCGGGCUCAUCUUGCGGCAUAGAUUCUCCAGUAAAAUCAAUCCGCAGAAGGAGGAGGAGGUGCCAUACAAGAAGAGCAACCAAGCAGCAAGCAGUGAAAAAUGACAGUGAGCAUUACGGGGAGGAUGAAAAGUGUGAGCAUCAGUGUCUCUGCAAUCAGGAUUAUGAGAUCAUGUACAGUAGCAACAGCCCCUGAAAUAUUUUGUUGUUUCUGGCACUGAACUGGAUCGUACUGGUCUGCACAUGACAGCUCAUGCCAAGAUUCCAACCAGGAGUAAAGAACAACGACACUGGGGAGAAAAACACAAGAGACCAUUUUGACCAUUUUGAUCUGUCCUGCAGAUGCUCGCCCGAUUCUUACAACAGAAACUGAGGCAAAGUGAACUUGGGAUAAAUUCCAGUUUGGAGAUAACACGUUCUAUGUUUGUGUGCCAGAUUAUGCCGGCUAGAUUUAUAAAAUGACCUUUAAUUGUUGUUUGAUUUAGCAUCGCAUCACAGAUUAAAAGUGUUUAUGGCAAGACUUGUGAAACAAGAACCGUGCCUCCUCGUAAAAAAUGACAUUAUCUUCGAUUUAUGGGUGUGUUUUCUUUAGGCACAUGGGAUGGUCUGUUUUUUAAGUACGUGCGAAGACAGCAUAGCUUUGAUGCUCCAAUUUAAUUGCACAGAACAUCUCUGAAGCGAGCUGAAUUCAUGGGCAGAUGUGUCACGACAAGGAAAUCCUAAAAAUUGAUAUGGUCUGUUGACUCGAUAGAGAAGAAAUCAUGUAGGUAAAACUGGCAUUUAAAAUGUCAGCUUUGAGAUAUACAGUAUGUAGUAGAUGAUCCCGGAACCUCGAUGAUUUGUGUCAAUACAUGCCGUGUGUUAUCUGUACCAUCAAUUGUGAACUCUAAAAAUACAAUUGUCAGCAUUC